RNAcentral lists this long non-coding RNA (743 nucleotides) under Parus major (Great Tit). RNAcentral describes it as "lncRNA (ENSPMJG00000001968.1)". Lineage: Eukaryota; Metazoa; Chordata; Aves; Passeriformes; Paridae. The record is from RNAcentral.
GAACAGGGGUGACACCACCAGGUUUAUUGGGAUGGAGCUGGGGGACCCCAAAACCGCAGGGACAGUCGGACGGAGCGUCAGUCGGACAGAGGGACAGACAGGACAGUGUCACUGCACUGUGGCCAUGGGCUCAUGAUGGUCACUGCGGUCAGGAACUGUCCCCAGGGUGGUCACUGUGGUCACUGUGGUGGUCACUGCGGUCAGGAGCUGUCCCCAGGGUGGUCACUGUGAUGGUCACUGUGGUCAGGAGCUGUCCCCAUGGUGGUCAUGAUGGUCACUGUGGUGGUCAUUGCUCCAUGGUGGUGUCCUCAUGAUGGUCACUGUGGUCAGGAGCUGUCCCCAUGGUGGUCACUGUGGUGGUCACUGUGGUCACUGUGGUCAGGAGCUGUCCCCAUGGUGGUCACUGUGGUCACUGUGGUGGUCACUGUGGUCAGGAGCUGUCCCCAUGGUGGCUGUGAUGGUCACUGUGAUGGUCACUGUGAUGGUCACUGUGGUGGUCAGUGCUCCAUGGUGGUGUCCCAUAAUGGUCACUGUGGUCAGGAACUGUCCCUAUGGUGGUCACUGUGAUGGUCACUGUGGUCAGGAGCUGUCCCCAUGGUGGCCAUGGUGGUCAGUGUGGUGGUCACUGCUCCAUGGCGGUGUCCCAGGGUGGUCAGUGUGGUGGCCAGGGUGGUCAGUGUGGUGGUCACUGUGGUCACUCAGUGCUCCAUGGCUGUGUGCCAGGGUGGUCACCACGAUGGUCA